This 3289-nucleotide long non-coding RNA is filed under the name Homo sapiens (human). RNAcentral's name for it is "HSALNT0112768". Lineage: Eukaryota; Metazoa; Chordata; Mammalia; Primates; Hominidae. The record is from RNAcentral.
GGAAAAUGCCAUAUGAAGACGCAAAGACACAUAGACACAGAGGGAAGACAGCCGUGUGAUGAUGCAUACACAUUGGAGUUAUGCUGCCACAAGCCAAGGAAUGCCUGGGGGUAUAAGAGGAAACAAACUCUUCCUUCCUGUCCUCUGCCUGUAGCAGAAAAUAGACAAGCCAAGCAGAUGUCCAGAGAUGGCGGAGGAGUACCUCGGCUGCAGCUUCCUUGAGAGAAAACAAACUCAAGGGAGCCUUGGGGGCUGGGGGUGAGAGUGCCGGGGCGGAGCUGGGGGGAGAAGGAAGGUGGCACAGUAUUGUAAUCAGGUUCCCUACUCACUCAAGCUGAGUGCCCGUUGCCUUCUUUCUUUCCCUCCCUCUCCCUUUGUCUCUUUUGAACUUACUGUGAAACAAGUGAACUAUAUAUGGCCAGGGAAAUCUCCAGCAGUCCCAGUAUUUUUAAACUCUUGUAGUCUCCUGUUUGCACACUCAUGUGACGUAGAGGAACUAGAUCCAGAGAGUUUCUCAUGGGAAUCCGGGAUGCUUCGGCAUAACUGCUGGCUUUGGUUGCAUGUGUUUUUGCCCCUUGUUAAAGCAGUCCUUGGGGUUUCAUUUCACAUCCAAAAGACCUGGGAAGCAGCAGAUUCUGUGAGUGCACUAAGAAUGUACCGGGGAGGCUGUGUUCAGGGUGCCUGUCCAGGAUCGUCAUCGAGGGCCUAAGAAACUUUCAGCCUGUGUAGCUGGCCUGGCUCAGACUGGAGGGUGAACUGCUGGGCAUCUUAAUGCAAACUGGAGGGCAUUAGCAAGGAAGAAUUAUUCUCAGAACAUUCCGCGAGCCCUUCACUGAUGAAUUCCUCAUCGUUGUUGGGUUUUGUUUUGUUCUGUUUUGCUGUUCUUGUGCAUUAUCCAAUUUUACUCAAGCUAUUUUAUUAAUAUGUGCCCCAAUCCCCGCCUUCAGCGUGUGUUUCCAGUGACUGUUUAUUUCUCUUUCAGUUCCUCUUGCAGACGUCCUUUUCACCACUGAAAACAUGUUUCAAAAUGUCCUUGAAUCGAAAAUAUUUUAUUUUAUAAGAAAUAUAUUUUCAAGCAGUUUAUUCACGAGAGUGAUAUAUUUGAGGAUUAAACGAAAAUAGGGGAACAACUCACAUAGUUACUGAGUGGAAAAAAUUACCUUUAAAACAGGAUGGAAAAUGAAAUAGUGACUGUGGGUGUAGUUUCUUGUAGGAACACUAAGUGUAGUUAGCUGUCUAGGUCAUGCACCACAUAACUCUCGGUGCCACCACUCAUAAUAUAGAUUUAAUUUAAUAUGAUGAUUUCCUGUCAUAUAUUAGUGAAAUGUCUUGAAGGAAGGGUCCCUUUUGUACAAAGGGGCCAUAUGGAUUAUUAGUAAUCACUCUUUUUGAGGAUAGGAAUGAAUCUUACCCGCUUUUUUUUUCCUGUUGCAAUUUACCUGUUAUAAUCACUACUAUUUACAGAGAGCUAACUUUCUAUCAGACACUAGUAUUAACAAUGUUAUGCUGGUAAUAGAGUUGGGAAAAAAAAAAGAGGCCCUGACUUGCAGUGCUUGCCAAUUUCCAUAGUGUAAAUAUUCCCACCAUAGCCAUGUUCAGGCUACCAAAGUUCUUGAAAGCUAAGUGUAGUGUUGAGUAGGGAUGAUCACAAUUGGCUUUCCUGAGCCAGUAUGAGUUGGCUGCAACAAAACUACUGGUUCUAUAAUAAGUAUUAACAGGCAUUAAUUGCUUUAAAUAUUAACAAGUUUUAUUUGCUCUAUAAAAUGAUAUUAUUAUUAUUCACCAUCAUACAGAUAUGGAAACUGAGGCAAUGAAAAGUUAUGUUACUUUGCAUAAGGUGACAGAACCAGUAAGCAGUGGAGCCAAGCUUUCAGCCCAGGCUGCCUAACUCCAGAGCCCAUGCACAUAAUCCCUAGACCAUGCUGGAAGCAAUAGUGCAGGUGUCAGCAAAUGAUUUCUACAUGAGGGCAUCUUGAUGUCAAGAAGUGUAGUAACUGCUUUAAGUAUUGUAUCAGUUAGGGUUCCACCAGAGAAACAGAACUAGUAAUCAAUAUACAUAGCUAAUAUGAAUAUAUAAUAAAUUCAUAUUAUAUAUUUUUAAUAACAUAUAUAUUUAGAAAUAAUGUAAAUAUAUAUGGAUAUAUGUUGAUUUAUUGCAAGGAACUGGCUUACGUGAUUGUGGCAGCUGGCUACAAAAGUCUGAAAUCUGUACAGCAGGCCCUCAGGAAGGGCCGACAGAAACUCUCGAGCAGGGGCUGACACUGCCGUCCACAAGUAGAAUCUCUUCCUCAAGGAAGCCUAAGUUCUGUUCUUAAAGCUUUUCAAUUACUUGAAUCAGGCCAACACAGAUUAUCCAGGACAAUCUUUCUUACACAAACCAAACUAUUAUAGACUUUAACAACACCUACCUUCACAGCAACAUCUAUAUUAGUGUUUGAUUGAAUAACUGGAGCCUAUAGCCUGAAUAAGUUGACUCAUAAAGUGUUGAGUUGAAUUGCAUUGCCCAAAAAUUUAUGUUGAAAUCUUAAUCUCUGGUAUCUGUGAAUGUGACUUUAAUUGGAAAUAGGGUCUUUGCAGAUGAAAUGAAGGUAAGGUGAGGUCAUACUAGAGUAGGGUGAGACCUGAAUUGAGUGUGACUGGUAUCCUUAUGAGAAGAAAAGGGAAAUGUAGACACAGACAUACAGGUAGAAUGCUGUGGAAAUGGAGGCAGAGAUUGGAGUGAUGCAUCUCCAAGCCAAGAAACGACAAGAAUUGGUGGAAGCCACCAGAAGGCAUGUAGAGGCAAGGAAGCCUCCUUCCCUAGAGCCUUCAGAGGGAGCAAGGGCCUGCCAACACCUUGAUUUGGGGCUUCUUGCAUCCAGAACUGUGAAACAAUAAAUUUCUGUUGGUUUAAGCUACCCAGUUUGUGAUCCUUUGUCAUGGCAGUCCUAGGAAUUAAUACUACAGGGAUCUUAAAAAUAACACUGUGAUAAUAAAUAAUGUCUACUUCACCAACAUCUAGGACAUGACUUUUACUAAAAACAAAGACUAUGCUUACCACAAUUUUCUUGUGACACUCUCAGUAGUGGCAUGUUGGUGGGCCCUUUCAAGUCAGAGGUGUAUCUAUAAACUAAUUGCUUUUAUUUGAUUCAACACAUGCAGGAACGUAUACACAUCCUUACUGAAAUAGUCACUGGAAGAAAUAAUUGACUUAAAGCAGUGGGGUUGCUAUUAUAAAAUCAACUUUAGUAGCGCAUUGAAAUAAAUAUGUACGAAUAAAUGAGCGAGGAAUAAAUGUGUUCAUUGCUUC